This 125-nucleotide ribosomal RNA is filed under the name Echinops telfairi (small Madagascar hedgehog). The record is from RNAcentral. Lineage: Eukaryota; Metazoa; Chordata; Mammalia; Afrosoricida; Tenrecidae.
GUCUACGGCCAUACCACCCUGAACGUGCCUGAUCUCAGAAGCUAAGCAGAGUGAGGCCUGCCUAGUCCUUGGAUGGGAGAAAUAAAGAGAAUGCCUUUCACAAAUGCCCCAGAGGUUGGUUGACU